UACAGGGGGGGCAAGCGUUGUUCGGAAUUACUGGGCGUAAAGGGUCUGUAGGUGGCUUGCUAAGUCAGACGUGAAAUCCCUCAGCUUAACUGGGGAACUGCGUCUGAUACUGGCAAGCUUGAGUGCAGGAGAGGAACGCGGAAUUCCAGGUGUAGCGGUGAACUGCGUAGAUAUCUGGAGGAACACCGGUGGCGAAGGCGGCGUUCUGGACUGCAACUGACACUGAGAGACGAAAGCCAGGGGAGCAAACGGG
Molecule: ribosomal RNA, 253 nt
Filed under: uncultured bacterium
Lineage: Bacteria
Description: partial 16S ribosomal RNA
Rfam family: Bacterial small subunit ribosomal RNA
Source: RNAcentral